GAGAAGCGAACCUGCGAAGGCAAGCGGAUCUCUUAAAGCCGUUCUCAGUUCGGACUGUAGGCUGCAACUCGCCUACACGAAGCUGGAAUCGCUAGUAAUCGCGGAUCAGCACGCCGCGGUGAAUACGUUCCCGGGCCUUGUACACACCGCCCGUCACACCAUGAGAGUCUGUAACACCCAAAGCCGGUGGGAUAACCUUUAUAGGAGUCAGCCGUCUAAGGUAGGACAGAUGAUUAGGGUGAAGUCGUAACAAGGUACC
This 259-nucleotide ribosomal RNA is filed under the name uncultured bacterium. RNAcentral's name for it is "partial 16S ribosomal RNA". It matches the Rfam family "Bacterial small subunit ribosomal RNA", at positions 1244 to 1500 of the family's 1533-position model. The record is from RNAcentral.